AUAACGAAGAGUUUGAUCCUGGCUCAGGACGAACGCUGGCGGCGUGGAUUAGGCAUGCAAGUCGAACGCGAAAGUAUUUCUUCGGAGAUACGAGUAGAGUGGCGGACGGGUGAGUAACGCGUAAAUGAUCUACCUUUAAGCGAGGGACAGCCCCGGGAAACCGGGAUUAAUACCUCAUGUGAAGCUACCAAUUAUGUAUUUUUAAUUUUGUAUUUUAUGCUAAUGUUUGGUUAUUUUUGAGUUAGCAAAUUUUAAUUUGCAACUUUGCAAGGUUAAGAGUUCAUAAUUGGUGGCUUUAAAGAUUGCCUCUGUUUACAAGCAAUCGCUUAGAGAUGAGUUUGCGUCCUAUUAGCUAGUUGGUAAGGUAAGGGCUUACCAAGGCGAUGAUAGGUAGGCGGCUUUAACGAGUGGUCGCCCACACUGGGAUUGAGAUACGGCCCAGACUCCUACGGGAGGCAGCAGUCGAGAAUAGUCUACAAUGGACGAAAGUCUGAUAGUGCGACGCCGCGUGGAUGAAGAAGCAUUUCGGUGUGUAAAGUCCUUUUUUAUGUGAGCAAUGUUUUAUAUAUGAAUAGUAUGUAGAGAGAGAUAUUAGCAUAAGAAUAAGCUCCGGCUAACUCCGUGCCAGCAGCCGCGGUAACACGGGGGGAGCAAGCGUUGUCCGGAAUUACUAGGCGUAAAGGGUAAGCAGGCUGAUAUAUAAGUCAGAUGUUAAAGGCAUUGGCUCAACCAAUGUACGGCGUUUGAUACUGUAUAUCUAGAGUAAGAUAUGGGAAGACGGAAUUCCUGGUGUAGCGGUGGAAUGCGCAGAUAUCAGGAAGAACACCGGUGGCGAAGGCGGUCUUCUGGGUCAUUACUGACGCUGAAUUACGAAGGUGUGGGUAUCAAACAGGAUUAGAUACCCUGGUAGUCCACACAGUAAACGAUAUACACUAGAUGUUGGGAGAGAUAAAUCUUUCAGUGUCGUAGCUAACGCGUUAAGUGUAUCGCCUGGGGAGUACGAUCGCAAGGUUAAAACUCAAAGGAAUUGACGGGGCCCCGCACAAGCGGUGGAGCAUGUGGUUUAAUUCGAUGCAACGCG
RNAcentral lists this ribosomal RNA (1081 nucleotides) under Candidatus Cloacimonadota bacterium. RNAcentral's name for it is "bacterial SSU rRNA". It matches the Rfam family "Bacterial small subunit ribosomal RNA", at positions 1 to 963 of the family's 1533-position model. Lineage: Bacteria; Pseudomonadati; Candidatus Cloacimonadota. The record is from RNAcentral.